Molecule: unclassified non-coding RNA, 334 nt
Filed under: soil metagenome
Description: partial contains 5.8S ribosomal RNA, internal transcribed spacer 2, and large subunit ribosomal RNA
Rfam family: 5.8S ribosomal RNA (bases 1-120)
Source: RNAcentral
GAUGAAGAACGCAGCGAAAUGCGAUAAGUAAUGUGAAUUGCAGAAUUCAGUGAAUCAUCGAAUCUUUGAACGCACAUUGCGCCCGCCAGUAUUCUGGCGGGCAUGCCUGUUCGAGCGUCAUUUCAACCAUCAAGCCCUGCUUGCGUUGGGGUCCUGCGGCUGCCCGCAGGCCCUGAAAACCAGUGGCGGGCUCACUAGUCACACCGAGCGCAGUAAUACAUCUCGCUUUGGGCGUGCGGCGGGUUCUUGCCGUUAAACACCCCCUUUUUACCAAGGUUGACCUCGGAUCAGGUAGGAAUACCCGCUGAACUUAAGCAUAUCAAUAAGCGGAGGA